GUGCCAGCAGCCGCGGUAAUACAGAGGUCUCGAGCGUUAGGCGGAAUCACUGGGCUUAAAGCGUGUGUAGGUGGAUGCCUAAGUACCUUGUGAAAUCCCACGGCUUAACCGUGGAACUGCUUGGUAUACUGGGUGUCUUGAGUCACUCAGGGGCGAGCGGAACAAAUGGUGGAGCGGUGAAAUGCGUAGAUAUCAUUUGGAACGCCAAUGGUGAAAACAGCUCGCUGGGGGUGUACUGACACUGAGACACGAAAGCCAGGGGAGCGAACGGGAUUAGAUACCCCGGUAGUCC
RNAcentral lists this ribosomal RNA (292 nucleotides) under uncultured bacterium. RNAcentral's name for it is "partial 16S ribosomal RNA". It matches the Rfam family "Bacterial small subunit ribosomal RNA", at positions 505 to 796 of the family's 1533-position model. The record is from RNAcentral.